This 443-nucleotide ribosomal RNA is filed under the name uncultured bacterium. RNAcentral describes it as "partial 16S ribosomal RNA". It matches the Rfam family "Bacterial small subunit ribosomal RNA", at positions 338 to 795 of the family's 1533-position model. The record is from RNAcentral.
CCUACGGGAGGCAGCAGUGGGGAAUAUUGGGCAAUGGAGGCAACUCUGACCCAGCAACGCCGCGUGAAUGAUGAAGGUCUUCGGAUUGGAAAGUUCUGUGAUGGGGGAUGAACACAAUGACGGUACCCCAAUAGCAAGCCACGGCUAACUACGUGCCAGCAGCCGCGGUAAUACGUAGGUGGCAAGCGUUAUCCGGAAUGACGGGGCGUAAGGGGUGCGUAGGUGGUUUGGUAAGUUGGCGGUGUAAUUCCGGGGCUCAACCUCGGCCCUACCGCGAAAACUAUUAGGCUAGAGUGCAGGAGGGGUAAGUGGAAUUCCUAGUGUAGCGGUGGAAUGCGUAGAUAUUAGGAGGAACAUCGGGGGCGAAGGCGGCUUACUGGACUGUAACUGACGCUGAGGCACGAAAGCGUGGGGAGCAAACAGGAUUAGAUACCCGAGUAGUC